CACGGCAGUAGAAGCCCUGCCAAGAGGUUCUAUAACGUGGGAGAAAAGGUCACGUACACCUGCGACGAAGGGUACACCCUGGACUCCAGACAUACCAGCAGAGUGAGGUGCCUCGGGGAUGGCAUCUGGCAAUAUGACAAGCCCAGCUGUUCAGUGGACAUUCGGGUCACGCUGCAGGACGACCUACUCUAUGGGUACAGUCUAAACCAGGCGCCUGAUACUGAGAGUGAGAACCACACAGUUAUCAUCUUCAGUGGCACAGUGGAACAGAUCACCGACCUGGACGAAAAGAAAGAGCUUCUGGUUGCCUCUCUAGUCAUCGAAUUCGUAAGUAGACCCGGUUAUGACACCUUCGAAUUCAGUAAUUUUUAGAAAUAUUCCGUUUCUGUCGUUUUGCCUUG
Molecule: long non-coding RNA, 401 nt
Organism: Branchiostoma floridae (Florida lancelet)
Lineage: Eukaryota; Metazoa; Chordata; Leptocardii; Amphioxiformes; Branchiostomatidae
Exons: 3
Source: RefSeq, a predicted model, not a curated record